Molecule: ribosomal RNA, 1116 nt
Filed under: Alteromonas sp.
Lineage: Bacteria; Pseudomonadati; Pseudomonadota; Gammaproteobacteria; Alteromonadales; Alteromonadaceae
Description: bacterial SSU rRNA
Rfam family: Bacterial small subunit ribosomal RNA
Source: RNAcentral
GCCAAGGGGACAGCUACCAUGCAGUCGACGGUAACAGGAAGAGCUUGCACUUCGCUGACGAGUGGCGGACGGGUGAGUAAUGCUUGGGAACUUGCCUUUGCGAGGGGGAUAACAGUUGGAAACGACUGCUAAUACCGCAUAACGUCUACGGACCAAACGGGGCUUAGGCUCCGGCGCAAAGAGAGGCCCAAGUGAGAUUAGCUAGUUGGUAAGGUAAAGGCUUACCAAGGCAACGAUCUCUAGCUGUUCUGAGAGGAAGAUCAGCCACACUGGAACUGAGACACGGUCCAGACUCCUACGGGAGGCAGCAGUGGGGAAUAUUGCACAAUGGGGGAAACCCUGAUGCAGCCAUGCCGCGUGUGUGAAGAAGGCCUUCGGGUUGUAAAGCACUUUCAGUUGUGAGGAAAAGUUAGUAGUUAAUACCUGCUAGCCGUGACGUUAACAACAGAAGAAGCACCGGCUAACUCCGUGCCAGCAGCCGCGGUAAUACGGAGGGUGCGAGCGUUAAUCGGAAUUACUGGGCGUAAAGCGCACGCAGGCGGUUUGUUAAGCUAGAUGUGAAAGCCCCGGGCUCAACCUGGGAUGGUCAUUUAGAACUGGCAGACUAGAGUCUUGGAGAGGGGAGUGGAAUUCCAGGUGUAGCGGUGAAAUGCGUAGAUAUCUGGAGGAACAUCAGUGGCGAAGGCGACUCCCUGGCCAAAGACUGACGCUCAUGUGCGAAAGUGUGGGUAGCGAACAGGAUUAGAUACCCUGGUAGUCCACACCGUAAACGCUGUCUACUAGCUGUUUGUGACUUUAAGUCGUGAGUAGCGAAGCUAACGCGAUAAGUAGACCGCCUGGGGAGUACGGCCGCAAGGUUAAAACUCAAAUGAAUUGACGGGGGCCCGCACAAGCGGUGGAGCAUGUGGUUUAAUUCGAUGCAACGCGAAGAACCUUACCUACACUUGACAUGCAGAGAACUUUCCAGAGAUGGAUUGGUGCCUUCGGGAACUCUGACACAGGUGCUGCAUGGCUGUCGUCAGCUCGUGUCGUGAGAUGUUGGGUUAAGUCCCGCAACGAGCGCAACCCUUGUCCUUAGUUGCCAGCAUUCAGUUGGGCACUCUAAAGAAGACUGCC